RNAcentral lists this long non-coding RNA (216 nucleotides) under Lathyrus oleraceus (garden pea). RNAcentral describes it as "Pisum sativum (pea) long non-coding RNA (PSAT_LNC034212)". Lineage: Eukaryota; Viridiplantae; Streptophyta; Magnoliopsida; Fabales; Fabaceae. The record is from RNAcentral.
AGAUAUCUUGUAAAUAAUCUCUUGUAAGUUAAUAUAAAUAUAAAUUAAUAAAUUUAAAAUAAGUUAAAAAAGAUUUAAAAAAUUAAAAAAAUAAUUAAAAAUAUAUUAAAAAAAAAAGCAAAAAAAAAAAAGGAAUUAGGAGUAGGCGCCACUCCUAGUGGCGACUUGCCCUACAAUUAAGGGUAGGCGCCAUCUAGGGUGGCGCCCAUGCACAUA